This 308-nucleotide long non-coding RNA is filed under the name Trifolium pratense (red clover). RNAcentral describes it as "long non-coding RNA (TPRA_LNC008093)". The record is from RNAcentral. Lineage: Eukaryota; Viridiplantae; Streptophyta; Magnoliopsida; Fabales; Fabaceae.
CUGCUUAAGAGCUAAAAAUAAUGAAUAUAAUAAGUUCUUGUGCCCGAAACUGGAGGAACAAGUUCCUGUGCCCGAAACUGGAGGAACAAGUGCUGUGUAGGAUGCUCUACUCUGAGUAACAGGUUGGACUUAUUACAAGUAAGAUCCCGUCAGGUGAAAAGGUGGAGUAGUACCUAAAGCUUAAAAACAAUAAAUAAUAAUAAAAAAAAUAAUAAAGCUUGAAAGUAGUUGCCCCUGAGUUGAUGUUGAAAAGCUUUGGAUCUCUUGAAAAGAAAUAGCCCCCCCUAUUCUAAAAUUCUGGUUAAAUC